Molecule: ribosomal RNA, 477 nt
Filed under: Triticum aestivum (bread wheat)
Lineage: Eukaryota; Viridiplantae; Streptophyta; Magnoliopsida; Poales; Poaceae
Description: partial small subunit ribosomal RNA
Source: RNAcentral
AUGUUUCCUAGUAGGAAAAACGCUCGCCGGACUAUAUCCGGAGAGAUUGCCGAUCACGCCUCCACCAGUCGGGCUCCAGGGCCGGACAUGGAGGCGGAAGCUAACAUGGGGCGAACGCCGGAUGUUCCUCCUACAGAGGAUGCAGAUAGGCUAUCCGCUACAAAUUCCGAAGUGGAGAGCGCCAUGAAUCACAGGCGUCGCCGGGCCGUACUCCGUGACGCUUGUUUCUCCCAAGAGGCGUUUGAUGCCUUCAACUCAAGAGACGCGUACAUCCGUGCCGCUCAAAAUGGUCUUGCCAGAGCCACGGAUCAGUAUGUAAAGGAUAUACGGGUUCUUACAGAGAAGAAUACCCAAUUGUCUCAAGAGCUGGAGGAGUGCAAAGCCCAGCUACGGGCCGCAGUUACCGCGCGGAAGGAGUCCGAGAAGGCCCCCUCUGAUGACUCCGGAGGCCGUGCCGGGGGAUGCGCAACGUGCUAA